RNAcentral lists this ribosomal RNA (497 nucleotides) under uncultured bacterium. Its description in RNAcentral is "partial 16S ribosomal RNA". It matches the Rfam family "Bacterial small subunit ribosomal RNA", at positions 28 to 507 of the family's 1533-position model. The record is from RNAcentral.
GAUGAACGCUGGCGGCGUGCCUAAUACAUGCAAGUCGAGCGAACAGACGAGGAGCUUGCUCCUCUGACGUUAGCGGCGGACGGGUGAGUAACACGUGGAUAACCUACCUAUAAGACUGGGAUAACUUCGGGAAACCGGAGCUAAUACCGGAUAAUAUAUUGAACCGCAUGGUUCAAUAGUGAAAGACGGUUUUGCUGUCACUUAUAGAUGGAUCCGCGCCGCAUUAGCUAGUUGGUAAGGUAACGGCUUACCAAGGCGACGAUGCGUAGCCGACCUGAGAGGGUGAUCGGCCACACUGGAACUGAGACACGGUCCAGACUCCUACGGGAGGCAGCAGUAGGGAAUCUUCCGCAAUGGGCGAAAGCCUGACGGAGCAACGCCGCGUGAGUGAUGAAGGUCUUCGGAUCGGAAAACUCUGUUAUUAGGGAAGAACAAAUGUGUAAGUAGCUAUGCACGUCUUGACGGUACCUAAUCAGAAAGCCACGGCUAACUACGUG